Molecule: ribosomal RNA, 253 nt
Filed under: uncultured bacterium
Lineage: Bacteria
Description: partial 16S ribosomal RNA
Rfam family: Bacterial small subunit ribosomal RNA
Source: RNAcentral
UACGAAGGGGGCUAGCGUUGCUCGGAAUCACUGGGCGCAAAGGGUGCGUAGGCGGGUUUUUAAGUCAGAGGUGAAAUCCUGGAGCUCAACUCCAGAACUGCCUUUGAUACUGAAAAUCUUGAGUAUGGGAGAGGUGAGUGGAACUGCGAGUGUAGAGGUGAAAUUCGUAGAUAUUCGCAAGAACACCAGUGGCGAAGGCGGCUCACUGGCCCAUAACUGACGCUGAGGCACGAAAGCGUGGGGAGCAAACAGG